Molecule: long non-coding RNA, 602 nt
Filed under: Coturnix japonica (Japanese quail)
Lineage: Eukaryota; Metazoa; Chordata; Aves; Galliformes; Phasianidae
Description: lncRNA (ENSCJPG00005012041.1)
Source: RNAcentral
GAAGAAUACUAAUCAUGUGAGUGACUGCUGUAACAGGCUUCAUUCUGAAGAUGUGCAUUGAUUUAUGCAGUGAAGGCUGCUUAGUCUGAGAUAUUCUUGGACUCCAGAAAGCUAAUGCCUUCAGGUCUGGGAUGCGACCCAGCAGCACAGAUGACAUCACUGUGGUGGCCUUUCAUACAAGGAAGAAAGAUCUCAUGGGAUCUUAGUGAUGUGUGAAGAUGUAGCACCUCCAUAUGUAGUCUUGUUACUCACCCAUUUAGUGCAACAUGGGCUUGUUUUCUCUUGCUUCGAGGCUAGAUAUAGGGCUCAGCACAUGGCAGCUCUCAUCUCUCAGGUCUCCAGCUGGGCAGGAUAUAUUAUAAUUUCUCUCUGGGAUUUGCUGCCUGAGAUCAUGCCAGGUCAUUUUCUACAUGUGAGGAUGUAGUUAUUUAUACGGCCUGAUCCAGUCAUGAAGCCUUUCACCAUUACUGUCAUGAAAACUAGCACGGGUCUGCACACAUUAGCACUAUCAACGCACAGUCAACGGCAGCAGCCUGCAGUUUGGAGCUGGAAUUGGAGUAGCAAGUAUGCAGAGAAUGUCCUAACCCAAGAGUUCAUCGUAU